AUAGGGCUAGUAUAUUCGGUGUAUGGAAGGACUGUAAGGUGUACAUGUCCAACUGGCAGGUGUCAUCUGACCUUGACCUCAUUUUCAUGGUUCAGUGGUUAUAGUUAAAUUUUGUUGUUUUUGUCUGUUUUUCAUACUAUAUGCAAUAGGUCUACUAUAUUUGUUGUAUGGAAUGAUUGUAAGGUGUACAUGUCUAGAGGGAAGAUGUCAUGUGACCUUGACCUCAUUUUCAUGGUUCAGUGGUCAAAGUUAAGUUUUUGAGUUUUGGUCUUUUUAUCUAAUACUAUAUGCCAUAGGUCAACUAUAUUUGGUGUAUGGAAAUAUUUUAUGAUCUUUAUGUCAGUUGCGCAGG
Molecule: long non-coding RNA, 352 nt
Filed under: Mytilus galloprovincialis (Mediterranean mussel)
Lineage: Eukaryota; Metazoa; Mollusca; Bivalvia; Mytilida; Mytilidae
Source: RNAcentral